UGCGUAGGUGGUCGGGUAAGUUUAAGGUGAAAGCUCCGGGCUCAACCCGGAAAUGGCCUUGAAUACUAUCCGGCUCGAGGGUUGGAGGGGGGACUGGAAUUCUCGGUGUAGCAGUGAAAUGCGUAGAUACCGAGAGGAACACCAGUGGCGAAGGCGAGUCCCUGGACAACACCUGGCACUGAGGCACGAAAGCUAGGGGAGCAAACG
Molecule: ribosomal RNA, 207 nt
Filed under: uncultured bacterium
Lineage: Bacteria
Description: partial 16S ribosomal RNA
Rfam family: Bacterial small subunit ribosomal RNA
Source: RNAcentral